CAAGGUGACCUUGGGGACAGCAGGCAUUGUUGGCAUGCUAGGAAGCGGAGGCAGGGUGGAUUUGGGGAUAUUUGGCAGGCUAGGAAGUGGAGGCAAAGUGAGCUUAGGCAUUGAAGGUUGAGAAGUUGGCAAACUCGGCAAUGUUGGCUGUGGUAGUGAAGGAAUUGAAGGCAAUGGUGGCAAUGUUGGUUUAGGCAAAUUAGGCGAUUGCAGAAGAUGACGAGCCGCUUGGCCACCCGAAAACGACAAAAGAAUGAAAAGGGCGAAGAUAAAACAGUUGAAUCUUGUCAUCUUGCCAAAAUUUCA
RNAcentral lists this long non-coding RNA (306 nucleotides) under Populus tremula. RNAcentral's name for it is "long non-coding RNA (PTRE_LNC001407)". Lineage: Eukaryota; Viridiplantae; Streptophyta; Magnoliopsida; Malpighiales; Salicaceae. The record is from RNAcentral.